GCUGAAAUGGCGGAAUGGCAGACGCGAUGGACUUAAAAUCCAUUGGGACCUCCCGUGCGGGUUCGAGUCCCGCUUUCAGCACCA
RNAcentral lists this transfer RNA (84 nucleotides) under Clostridiales bacterium. Its description in RNAcentral is "tRNA-Leu". It matches the Rfam family "tRNA". From Rfam's summary of the family: Transfer RNA (tRNA) molecules are approximately 80 nucleotides in length. Their secondary structure includes four short double-helical elements and three loops (D, anti-codon, and T loops). The record is from RNAcentral. Lineage: Bacteria; Bacillati; Bacillota; Clostridia; Eubacteriales.